RNAcentral lists this ribosomal RNA (497 nucleotides) under uncultured bacterium. RNAcentral describes it as "partial 16S ribosomal RNA". It matches the Rfam family "Bacterial small subunit ribosomal RNA", at positions 28 to 507 of the family's 1533-position model. The record is from RNAcentral.
GAUGAACGCUGGCGGCGUGCCUAAUACAUGCAAGUCGAGCGAACGGACGCGAAGCUUGCUUCUCUGAUGUUAGCGGCGGACGGGUGAGUAACACGUGGAUAACCUACCUAUCAGACUGGGAUAACUUCGGGAAACCGGAGCUAAUACCGGAUAAUAUUUUGAACCGCAUGGUUCAAAAGUGAAAGACGGUCUUGCUGUCACUUAUAGAUGGAUCCGCGCUGCAUUAGCUAGUUGGUAAGGUAACGGCUUACCAAGGCAGCGAUGCAUAGCCGACCUGAGAGGGUGAUCGGCCACACUGGAACUGAGACACGGUCCAGACUCCUACGGGAGGCAGCAGUAGGGAAUCUUCCGCAAUGGGCGAAAGCCUGACGGAGCAACGCCGCGUGAGUGAUGAAGGUGUUCGGAUCGUAAAACUCUGUUAUUAGGGAAGAACAAAUGUGUAAGUAACUGUGCACAUCUUGACGGUACCUAAUCAGAAAGCCACGGCUAACUACGUG